Molecule: ribosomal RNA, 430 nt
Filed under: uncultured bacterium
Lineage: Bacteria
Description: bacterial SSU rRNA
Rfam family: Bacterial small subunit ribosomal RNA
Source: RNAcentral
UCGAGAAUCAUUCGCAAUGGGCGCAAGCCUGACGAUGCGACGCUGCGUGGAGGACGAAGGCCCUCGGGUCGUAAACUCCUGUCAUGGGGGAAAAAGGUCUCGUGCGUGAACAGCGCAUGAGCUCGAUGGUACCUCAAGAGGAAGCCACGGCUAACUCUGUGCCAGCAGCCGCGGUAAUACAGAGGUGGCGAGCGUUGUUCGGAUUUACUGGGCGUAAAGGGCGCGUAGGCGGCGCCGUGUGUCGCGUGUGAAAUCCCCGGGCUCAACCCGGGAAGUGCGCGCGAAACUGCGGUGCUCGAGCAGAGGAGAGGAGAGCGGAAUUCAUGGUGUAGCGGUGAAAUGCGUUGAUAUCAUGAGGAACACCGGUGGCGAAGGCGGCUCUCUGGAAUCUGGCUGACGCUGAGGCGCGAAAGUUGGGGGAGCAAACAGG